RNAcentral lists this unclassified non-coding RNA (3166 nucleotides) under Hevea brasiliensis (rubber tree). Lineage: Eukaryota; Viridiplantae; Streptophyta; Magnoliopsida; Malpighiales; Euphorbiaceae. The record is from RNAcentral.
AAAAAAAAAAAAAAAUUCCAUCAAUCCCAUCCUGUUAAUAUUGAAAGAAUUAAAAUGUAUAAAUCCAACCAUCUACAACGUAUCUUGGUAAUGUUCCAGGAUGUGUUGUUCAAUCCUGCUUUGUAAAUCUUAAAUUCAGAUUCGAGCUCCAAAGAGUCUCCUUGUUAGUCACCACUUAUGACCCGAUCAAUUGGUUGUGGCUAUUGUCAACAGCAAUGACGAAUAUGACUUGGCAUCACAACAUUCCUAAAAAUCAACACAAAACUGAACCAAAUAGCAGAAAAGACGAGAUUUCUCUCCGUGUAUUGAAGAAAAAAAAUAAAGCAUAAAGGAAAAAUGUUGCUUAGCUAAAAUAAAAGCCUAAAAUUACAUAUACUUCAACGCUGAUGAGGGAGGGACUCUUGUUGAGUGGUAACAGUCCUUCGGCUGCUUCUAUAUUUGCGGGAUCGUUCUAGCAUAAACUUUUCAUAGAGGGCUAGACAAAAAAACAGCUCUAUGGUAAACAUCAUUUUCAGCAAAACUUAAGGUAAAUUUUCAUUUAUAUAUAUUCAAGCUGUAAAUAAAGCAUCCUUGUGCAAUCCAUCUACACUAAGUCAAAAAAUGCUACUUCACUAGCCUAUAGUUAAAGGAAAAAUUAACAUAGCUGUUCAAAAAUAUCUUCAGGUAUCAUAGCUAGACAAGAUUUCACACAAAAUCAGCAGCUAGCUUCAGUUUGCAUCUGUUCCUGAAUCGCCUUGUAGCAUUGUAGGCUGCAAAGCGGAAGCUUCGACUUAGAAUCUCUAUACUUGUAAGGGUUAGUACAGGAAGGGCCUGCACACUUCUCCCGUGGAGGAGGAUAGCUGCAUCAAAGUUCCAACGAUUAGCAUUCAGGAAACAAAUAUUCAGCAUCAAUUGGAACAAAAACUUUCAAGUUUCAACCACAGAAUUUUAAACCUGCAAGCUUUAGAGUCAAAAAUACUAGGGAAACCCAUCUCCUUGGGGAAUGUUACGACAGUCCCAGUUGGGCCCAUGACCCAUCUGAUAGUGUUUGAUGCAAGCAUCAACGCAUUAGCAGCCUUCUCCUGUGCUAAUUCUUCCUGGCGCUUCUUUAUUUUGUCUUCUCGCUUCUUCCUGCUGGAAUCUUGACCAAGUAUCUUUCUAAUAGCCUCAGCCUCAGAUUCCCUUGCAGCCUUCUCAACUUGCAUUCUACGUCUCUGAGCAGCCUCAGCUUUCUUUAGUUGCUGCUCCACUUCAGAAAGUUUCUCCUUUUGCUUUCUUGGUGCUGCAGGUGGUAAUCCAUUUGGAAACUCAAUUAAGUUGGCACCAGGUGUAGAGCCAUCUUUGCUUGACUGAAGGGCUCGUUGACGUGUAGUUAGCUUCAUCUCCCUCUUACCAUCCAUCAAUGUAUCAAUAGAUUCCUUUUUCUGCUUCUUCUUCGUAUUACCUUCAUGCUCACCCUCAGAGGCCAGAUCAUCUUCUUCCUCAUAAUCUGUGUCCUCUGAUGCUCUGUCUAAUGUGCACUUCUUCUUCCCAUCCUUCACCAACUUUGAAGCACCCAUUUUGUCCAUGCUAGACAGCUUUCGCUGUUUCUUGCUGAAUUCUUCGUUAUCUUUAUAUUCUCCAGCAAUCUUUGGAGUUCUCAGUUUCUCCAGGUAACGAAUCUCAUCAUCCUCAUAGUCUUCACCAAUUUCUCCAUCCAAUACACGCCUCUUGGGGACCCGCUUGCUCUUACGAACUGGUUCAGCUCUCUCCCCUUGCUUUCCUGAGGUAUUCUUCAACUUUCCCAUAAAAGUACUGUCUUUCCCAAGACAAAAACCACCUGCAGAAAGACCUUUCCAGGGCACUCCUUGCAAACCAGUCCUCUUAUCUAAAUUGGAAUGCUCUUCCACUAAAUUCCCCUGAAAAUUUUGUUUCUGCUGAUAUCUGGAAGUUUGUGAACAUCGAGAGUUCUUAGCAGAAGAUGCACCAUCAGUCGGCGAGUUGGCAUGAAUUGUGUGUGUGACACCACCGACCUUGAGCUUAACUUUUUUAACUUUGUUGUCAUUAACUAAUGCAUCUAAAAUAACACCUGAAUGCUCUGAACUCUGGCUUUCACCAUUCCUUCCACUAUAAAUAUUUGCCAUUCUUGACUCCGAGUCAAAGGAUUCCUUCACCUUGCUUGUGUUUUUCCAAUUAGCAGGAGCAAGGACACCUUCACUAGAGCGCUUAUUGUUAAAUGCACUUCGUCCUGUAUCAUUACGGUAAAAUGCAUUGAAUCCUCCGCUCUCCUUAUUCCUCAUAUGGGACUUUUCACCUUCGACUUCAUUAGCAGAAGAAACCCUGGACAUACAUAGAUUAAGAUUGAACUCUUUCCUCCUAGAAUUAGUAUCAACAUUCUCAUCACUAGAUGCCUUGCUCACAUCAUCUGAAGGUGGUGUGGUUGAUGAGGGUGAAUGAUCACAGCUUUCAAUUGCUAGCUGAGCAUCAGGCUUAGGCCUGCGAGAUGUUUGACUCCUUUUCUUUCUUACAGCACUUCCAAUGCUAUCAAACCGAGCAAGACCAAACUCUUCCAUGAAGAAAAAUCUGCAAUAGUCCAGUUGCUUCCACUCAGAUGAUGAGAUAAAGAUAACCCAUAAAAACCAUGUGCUCCUCUCGAAACUGCUAUAUCAAAGACAUAUGAUAGCGACAAGUCCUUGAAGAAAAUUCGACACCCAAAGGUCCUCGUGGCAGACAAGCGAGAGAAAAGACCCUCAGCAAGACGCGAAAACAAAAGCAGAGAGAAACAACAGAAAGAAGAAAGGAGAAGGACAGAGAGAAAGAGAAGAGAAGAAAAGGAGAAUAAUUGAGGAACAAAGAUUUGAUGGUGGCGUUUGGUUAUAUUUGUAGAUUUAGUGAUGGAUGGAUAGAUAGAAUUAGGGUUAGAGAAGGAAGGAUAACUACAAUGAUGAGGAUGAGAGAGGUAAAGGCAUAGAUGAGGAGUAAUAAUCCCCUCGUUCUCCAUCUUUUGGCUAUUGCCACACCGCACCCUCUGUUUUUUUUUUUUUUCCCCUUAUUGUUUGGGGGUGAUUUUAGCCUUAGCCUUGUUGUAGUUGUGUCUCCUAUGUUGAUUCGGUCACGCAACUCGGUUGAUCCGACUCAGAGAACCCAAUGUCUCUCGCUCUCUCUCUCUUUCUUUCUUUCCUUCCUUCCUUUCUUUCUUUCUACCUCU